AGUGGAAUUGUUGGGUCAGUUCCACUGUUUGAAGAAUUGUCAGACUAUUUUUCCACAGUGGCUAUACCACUUUACAAUCCCACCAGCAGC
This 90-nucleotide microRNA precursor is filed under the name Marmota monax (woodchuck). The record is from RNAcentral. Lineage: Eukaryota; Metazoa; Chordata; Mammalia; Rodentia; Sciuridae.